This 278-nucleotide ribosomal RNA is filed under the name uncultured soil bacterium. RNAcentral describes it as "partial 16S ribosomal RNA". It matches the Rfam family "Bacterial small subunit ribosomal RNA", at positions 26 to 307 of the family's 1533-position model. The record is from RNAcentral.
AGAUUGAACGCUGGCGGCAUGCCUUACACAUGCAAGUCGAACGGUAGCAGGCCUUCGGGUGCUGACGAGUGGCGAACGGGUGAGUAAAGUAUCGGAACGUACCAUUCAGUGGGGGAUAACGUAGCGAAAGUUACGCUAAUACCGCAUAUUCUGUGAGCAGGAAAGCAGGGGAUCGCAAGACCUUGCGCUGAUUGAGCGGCCGAUAUCAGAUUAGCUUGUGGUGAGGUAAGAGCUCACCAAGGCGACGAUCUGUAGCGGGGUCUGAGAGGAUGACUCCG